Molecule: ribosomal RNA, 450 nt
Filed under: uncultured bacterium
Lineage: Bacteria
Description: bacterial SSU rRNA
Rfam family: Bacterial small subunit ribosomal RNA
Source: RNAcentral
UCCCAGACUCCUACGGGAGGCAGCCGUGGGGAAUAUUGCACAAUGGGGGGACCCCUGAUGCAGCGCCUCCUCGUGGGUGCAGGAGAAUUUCGGUCUGUCCAGCCCUAUCAUCCUGGAAGAACCCUGCCGGUACCUUCCUCCUAAGCACCUUCUCCCUACGUGCCCUCCUCCGCGGUACUCCUUCUGGUGCACUCUUUCUCCGGAUUUCCUGGGUGUAAAGGGAGCGCAGGCGGCGCGUUAAGCCUGGUGUGAAAGCCCGCGGCGCAACCGCGGGACUGCAGUGGGAACUGGCGCGCUGGAGUGACGGAGGGGGAGGCGGAAUUCCGAGUGUAGCGGUGAAAUGCGUAGAUAGGAGGAGGAACACCAGUGGCGAAGACGGCCUACUGGACGGUGACUGACGCUGAGGCUCGAAAGCGUGGGGAGCAAACAGGAUUAGAGACCCUGGUAAUA